UACGGGGGGGGCAAGCGUUGUUCGGAAUUACUGGGCGUAAAGGGCUCGUAGGCGGCCAACUAAGUCAGACGUGAAAUCCCUCGGCUUAACCGGGGAACUGCGUCUGAUACUGGAUGGCUUGAGUUUGGGAGAGGGAUGCGGAAUUCCUGGUGUAGCGGUGAAAUGCGCAGAUAUCAGGAGGAACACCGGUGGCGAAGGCGGCGUUCUGGACUGUCUCUGACACUGAAGAACGAAAGCCAGGGGAGCAAACGGG
RNAcentral lists this ribosomal RNA (253 nucleotides) under uncultured bacterium. RNAcentral's name for it is "partial 16S ribosomal RNA". It matches the Rfam family "Bacterial small subunit ribosomal RNA", at positions 524 to 776 of the family's 1533-position model. The record is from RNAcentral.